AGCGAACGCUGGCGGUAGGCCUAACACAUGCAAGUCGAACGGCAGCACAGGAGAGCUUGCUCUCUGGGUGGCGAGUGGCGGACGGGUGAGGAAUACAUCGGAAUCUACUCUGUCGUGGGGGAUAACGUAGGGAAACUUACGCUAAUACCGCAUACGACCUACGGGUGAAAGCAGGGGAUCUUCGGACCUUGCGCGAUUGAAUGAGCCGAUGUCGGAUUAGCUAGUUGGCGGGGUAAAGGCCCACCAAGGCGACGAUCCGUAGCUGGUCUGAGAGGAUGAUCAGCCACACUGGAUCUGAGACACGGUCCAGACUCCUACGGGAGGCAGCAGUGGGGAAUAUUGGACAAUGGGCGCAAGCCUGAUCCAGCCAUACCGCGUGGGUGAAGAAGGCCUUCGGGUUGUAAAGCCCUUUUGUUGGGAAAGAAAUCCAGUUGGCUAAUACCCGGUUGGGAUGACGGUACCCAAAGAAUAAGCACCGGCUAACUUCGUGCCAGCCGCCGCGGUAA
This 506-nucleotide ribosomal RNA is filed under the name uncultured bacterium. Its description in RNAcentral is "partial 16S ribosomal RNA". It matches the Rfam family "Bacterial small subunit ribosomal RNA", at positions 29 to 523 of the family's 1533-position model. The record is from RNAcentral.